RNAcentral lists this ribosomal RNA (512 nucleotides) under uncultured bacterium. RNAcentral describes it as "bacterial SSU rRNA". It matches the Rfam family "Bacterial small subunit ribosomal RNA", at positions 29 to 534 of the family's 1533-position model. The record is from RNAcentral.
AUUGAACGCUGGCGGAAUGCUUUACACAUGCAAGUCGAGCGGCAGCGCGGGGCAACCUGGCGGCGAGCGGCGAACGGGUGAGUAACAUAUCGGAACGUACCCAGUCGUGGGGGAUAACUAUCCGAAAGGAUAGCUAAUACCGCAUACGACCUGAGGGUGAAAGCGGGGGACCGAAAGGCCUCGCGCGAUUGGAGCGGCCGAUAUCGGAUUAGCUAGUUGGUGAGGUAAAGGCUCACCAAGGCGACGAUCCGUAGCUGGUCUGAGAGGACGACCAGCCACACUGGAACUGAGACACGGUCCAGACUCCUACGGGAGGCAGCAGUGGGGAAUUUUGGACAAUGGGGGCAACCCUGAUCCAGCCAUUCCGCGUGAGUGAAGAAGGCCUUCGGUUGUAAAGCUCUUUCGGUCAGGAACGAAACGGUAGGUCCCUAACUACGGGCUACUAAUGACGGUACCUGAAGAAGAAGCACCGGCUAACUACGUGCCAGCAGCCGCCGGUAAUCACGAGAGUA